Molecule: ribosomal RNA, 484 nt
Filed under: uncultured bacterium
Lineage: Bacteria
Description: partial 16S ribosomal RNA
Rfam family: Bacterial small subunit ribosomal RNA
Source: RNAcentral
AUUGAACGCUGGCGGCAGGCCUAACACAUGCAAGUCGAGCGGAUGAAGGGAGCUUGCUCCUGGAUUCAGCGGCGGACGGGUGAGUAAUGCCUAGGAAUCUGCCUGGUAGUGGGGGAUAACGUCCGGAAACGGGCGCUAAUACCGCAUACGUCCUGAGGGAGAAAGGGGGGGAUCUUCGGACCUCACGACAUCAGAUGAGCCUAGGUCGGAUUAGCUAGUUGGUGGGGUAAAGGCCUACCAAGGCGACGAUCCGUAACUGGUCUGAGAGGAUGAUCAGUCACACUGGAACUGAGACACGGUCCAGACUCCUACGGGAGGCAGCAGUGGGGAAUAUUGGACAAUGGGCGAAAGCCUAAUCCAGCCAUGCCGCGUGUGUGAAGAAGGUCUUCGGAUUGUAAAGCACUUUAAGUUGGGAGGAAAGGCAGUAAGUUAAUACCUUGCUGUUUUGACGUUACCAACAGAAUAAGCACCGGCUAACUUCGUG